GCACCCACAGGAAACCACCACACGUUUCCUUAAAUUCAGGGUCCUGCUCACAUGGGAAAUGCUUUCUGAGAGUCAUGGACCUCACAUGCAAGAGCAUGAAACACCUGUGGUUUUUCCUCCUCCUGGUGGCAGCUCCCAGACGUGUCCUGUCCCAGGUGCAGCUGCAGCAGUGGGGCCCAGGACUGGUGAAGCCUUCGGAGACCCUGUCCCUCACCUGCGAUAUCUAUGGUUACUCCAUCAGUAGUGGUUACUGGUGGAGCUGGAUCCGCCAGCCUCCAGGGAAGGGGCUGGAGUGGAUUGGGAGAAUCUAUUAUAGUGGGAGCACCUACUACAACCCAUCCCUCAAGAGUCGAGUCACCAUAUCAGCAGACCCGUCCAAGAACCAGUUCUCCCUGAGGCUGAACUCUGUGACCGCGGCGGACACGGCCGUGUAUUACUGUGCGAGACACAGUGAGGGGAGGUGAGUGUGAGCCCAGACACAAACCUCCCUGCAGGGAGGCGGCGGGGUGGGCACAGGUGCUGCUCAGGACCAGCAGGGGGUGCGCAGGGCCCACAGAGCCCGAGGCCGGGUCUGGAGCACGUGCAGGGAGAGCAGGGCUUCCUCAUCUGCUCAGUGGGCUCCCUCCCCGCCAGCACUGGAGCUGUGUCCAGGGCUCCUUUCUUUAUUAUCUGUGGUUCUGCUUCCUCACAUCCUUGUGCCAGCAAAGAAAGGAGGAAGACAUUUUUCUCUUACAGUUGAAGUUUCAACAAUUACUAGGAACUUUCUUACAUGUUACUGCAUGACCCAUUACAAACCUUACUGAUUUUAAAAAAUGCUAAUUCUUC
This is a non-coding RNA of Sapajus apella (tufted capuchin), 825 nucleotides long. The record is from the annotation of a RefSeq genome assembly. NCBI's taxonomy places the organism in Eukaryota, Metazoa, Chordata, Mammalia, Primates, Cebidae.